This 449-nucleotide long non-coding RNA is filed under the name Chloebia gouldiae (Gouldian finch). Its description in RNAcentral is "Erythrura gouldiae (Gouldian finch) lncRNA (ENSEGOG00005008341.1)". Lineage: Eukaryota; Metazoa; Chordata; Aves; Passeriformes; Passeridae. The record is from RNAcentral.
CUGAGUGCAACUAAAUGGGUGGCUUCCUUCUGGACCCUCACUUCACUGUCUUAGGUACAAGAACUGUGGAAGUCCAUUUUAGAAUUUGAAAGAACAAGAUUCUGCAGCUCUGGAAAGAUAUGAUGUUCCUGAGAGAAUUGUAUAGAUUGGUCCUUUACUCUAGCAGGCAUCUGGAAGGUAGUGUAUAUUCAUUUUUGCACCCACAGCACCACUGGGACCACCCACCUGCUUCUUGCUCUCCAGUGUCAAUACCAGUUCUGUGUAUGAUGGCUCUUCUUCAAACCUAAGCCAUUAUUUCUUUAUUGCCAUUAUGCCUGCUGGCUGCUUUUCUUCUGGAUGUUUAACUGCUUGUCACUGUAUGUAUGCAUAGAGUCUUUGUAAUAGUAUGUGCUUCAUAAAUUGAUGAAGAAUUCCACUCUAAUCCCUCACAAAUUGCAAGUAAUAAAUAC